CUCUACUACUUCACUACUGAACAACACGGCGGAAAUUCGGCGAAAACUCGUCGUUGUUAUCCAAGGCUUUUCUCUCUCUUUUGACUUGAAUUCAUCAGAUAUGGUGGUAAGUAAGAUGCUAAUAAAAAAGAGCAUUUAGAGGGGACUACUAAAAAGCUUAAAACUUUAUAAAGUUAGGCAGUGUUUGAAGAUGAUGGCGAUCUCGGGUGAGGAGUCUAUCAUGAACGAAAAUGCAUGUUUCUCAAAAGAAAAUUGUAUAGUUAACAAAUUGGCUGUUCCAAUUUCUUUUAGAAUGUAUGUAUAGUUAAUUAUUGGGAUCACUUAAGAUUUGGGACUAUGUAUUGAUAAUACAUUUCACUAAACUCUAUGUAAUGAUUAUUAUAGCUAUAAUGGGUAUUUACAUAUUACAUUGAUAAUACA
Long non-coding RNA from Beta vulgaris subsp. vulgaris (sugar beet), 420 nucleotides. RefSeq lists it as uncharacterized. The record is from RefSeq and is a predicted model, not a curated record. Lineage: Eukaryota; Viridiplantae; Streptophyta; Magnoliopsida; Caryophyllales; Amaranthaceae. The transcript has 3 exons.